GGGGGCAUCCUUGAGCUGAGCCUUAAUGUCCAAGUAGGAUGUAGCUGGGUGAAAGGAACAUGGGUGACGGUGGGGAGGAUGGGGGAGGGCAUCCAGGAGGAGGUACAGUGUGAGCAAAAGCUGGGAGGCUGGAGAGCAGGACACCGUAAAACAAUGGGUGUUGAAUGAGCUAACCUGACAGUCCCUGGGGAGUGGGGAGGCUGGGCGGCCCCUCCCUUCCAUGGGGCAUGGAGGGUUUGUUGUUGUCCCCACCCCCACUGCAGCAGCUGGCCGGCCCCGGGGCUGUCCCUUUGGCAGAGCCUUUUCCAGCCACCUCUGGGGCUCCCCGGGCCGGCCCCGCCCCUCGGGCUGCGCUGGAGGCAGGGGCGGGGCCAGGCGUCCCGGAGCCGGGCGGGAGCGCGCCGGGAGCAGGUGGAGGGCUGGCGGCGGCGGCGGCGGCGGCGGGGCUCGGCCUCCCCGGCCAAAGCACCGGCUCCCACCUCUCCCCUCCUCGCCUGCCCCCCCCACCCCCCCGAUGCCUACCAGACUUUUGCCUGGGCCGGGGCCCCUGCCGAACCAGCCUCGCCUCCCUGUCGGGUGGGGAUUCGGGGGCUGAGCUGUCUGGGGUCCCAGGGCCAAUGCAGUGCCGCCUCGUCCGGGGCCUGGCGGGAGCCCUCCUCACCGUUCUGUGCAUGGGGCUCGUCUCCCUACGGUACCACUCGAGCCUGUUUCCACAGAGCAUGCGGGAGACCCCCGGACUGAGCCCGCCAAGCCCUCUGUCCCCCGAGCUGCGGCUGCACGAUGUCUUCAUUGCAGUCAAGACGACCCGAGCCUUCCACCGCUCCCGCCUGGAGCUGCUGCUCGACACGUGGGUCUCCAGGACCAGGGAACAGACGUUUGUCUUCACCGACAGCUCAGAUGAAGGCCUCCAGGAGAGACUGGGGUCCCACCUUGUGGUCACCAACUGCUCUGCUGAGCACAGCCACCCCGCCCUGUCCUGCAAGAUGGCUGCUGAGUUUGACACCUUCUUGGCCCGUGGGCUGUGGUGGUUCUGCCACGUGGAUGACGACAACUAUGUGAACCCAAGGGCACUGCUGAAGCUGCUAAAAGCCUUCCCGCAGACUCACGAUGUCUACGUAGGCCGGCCCAGCCUGAACCGGCCUAUCCGCGCUUCUGAGCCGAGGCCCCACAACCGCACGAGGCUGGUACAGUUCUGGUUUGCCACCGGGGGUGCUGGCUUCUGCAUCAAUCGCAAACUGGCUUUGAAGAUGGCCCCGUGGGCCAGCGGCUCCCGCUUCGUGGAAACGUCUGCCCUCAUCCGAUUGCCUGAUGACUGCACUGUGGGCUACAUUGUCGAGUGCAAGCUAGGUGGCCGCCUGCAGCCCAGCCCCCUCUUCCACUCCCACCUGGAGACCCUGCAGCUGCUGGGGGCUGCCCAGCUCCCAGAGCAGGUCACCCUCAGCUAUGGCGUCUUUGAGGAGAAGCUCAAUGUCAUUAAGCUACAAGGCCCCUUCUCCCCUAAGGAGGACCCUUCCAGGUUCCGUUCCCUCCAUUGUCUCCUCUACCCAGAUACUCCUUGGUGCCCACAGCUGAUGGCCAGAUGAACCCUGAACGGCUGGGCAAAGUUUGGGCUGAGGCUUCUGGCUGUCCUUGGCCUCCCCAGGCAGCCCUGGGGACUCGUGGCAAGUGCUCUUUGGCUUGCUGUCCAGGUCAGCGCUCCACCGGCUCGACAGCACUUGUGUGAUGAGCUCUAGCUGCAGUGAUCCGCACAGAGUGCCCCGGAUGCCGGCUGCAGGGCCUGCUCCAGCCCUUCCCGAACAUGGCACUGGCCUCAACCAGCCCUCAGCCGCUUCCCCUCCAGCUGCCCUUCCUCCAAAGCUGUUUGGGGAAGACACAGCUGACUGACCCCACACCCAACACCGCGGCCUGAAGGUGCACCCACAGACCUUAUCCCACAGUGCCCCACAUCUUAGUCUGAGCAUGACAGGACCUCAGCAUCUCAGUUUUCUGAUCCAGAACUGCAGAACUGAAGACCCACAGAGCAGUCUUGCACCCACCCAUGACAUCUUGGGCUACAUCAUGGCACAGGUGAACCACCAGUCUUAGAAACACUCCAGUGGUUUCCCAGAGCGAUGGCUCGAUUGUUUUGUUGGGGGGAAAGAUGUGCAAACUUCAGAGGCUCCUCGCCGCCGCCAGACGAGCCGACAUGAGAGACCCCACGCUGGUCGUAGGUAUGACGUGACUUCGGUUUCAGCUAUUUAGGUUGUCCUUUCUAUUUUUACUUUUCCUCUUUCCCUGUGCAAAAUCCUACCUCUCCAAACCAGCACAUUCUACAGGCGCAUCAAAAUCCUCUUCACAGUGGAUGUUUAUGCCUUUUUCUGAAAUGUAAAUUUACAUUAAUAUUCUCAUCCCUACUUUAGUGGUUCAACAAGCCAUUUUUGUCUUACCAAUCCAUUUUCGUUAUUCAGGGCGAUAACCUGACAGCAAAUGCAUUUAAGGGCUUCCUAUGUGCCCGGCACCAUUCUGAGUGCUUUAUAUACGUUGUGACAGUUUGAAAACAUGGUCCCAAUUUUGGGGGACACUUCUAUUAAGAAGUGGCAUCUAUGUCCCUUCCCCUUUAAUCUGUGCUGGCAUUAGUGACUCACUUAUCACCAGUGGAAAGGAGGGGAAGUGAUGACUUGUGAUUUCCAAGGCCAGGUACGAAAAGGCCGUGUAGCUUCUGCCUGGUUCUCCCGGGACGCUUGUUCUGGAAAAAGCCCGGCUCCCUGAUCCUGCCAUGAUGGAGGUAAGCACUUUGGUCACCAGCUCCAGCAGAGCUAGCUGCCAACCUAGGGCACACACCAGGCGCCAGUUCUGUGAGUGAGCCAUCUUGUACAUGCUGCAAGCCCAGCUGGGCCAUCAGACGAUGGCAGCCCCAGAAUGUAUCUGACUGCACCCCCACAAGAACCCCAAGCGUGAGGUGCUCCGCUGAGCCCUUCCCGGAUUCCUGACCCAUAAAACUAUGAGCAGAAUCAAAUGGUUGUGGGCUUUUUUCCCCAUCACUAGAAUUUUUAAGCCAGAACAGGAACCCAAGACAUAGAACUAAUUUAGUUCUCGAAUUUUCAGAUACAGACAUUUAACCCCAGAGAGCUUAAGCAAGUUGCACACGUUUUCACGGCAGAGGGAAGAGAUGUGUGCCGGCAGGCUGAUUCUAAUAGUCUGCCACUUGACAACAAGGGGGUGGGGAAGCAAAGUUAACAAACGAGUAGUAACGCACAAAAUGCAAAAAUGUGUGCCAGGCAGGCUGACAGCACCCUGUUGAGGGAAGGUUGGUCCCUUUGGACCCACCAUCCCCGACUGAUGUACUUUGGAAAACACAUACCACUUUUAAGAACCCAGCGAUUUCUACAAAAAUCGCCAUUAAUUUUACAUUUCAAAUUUGCACAAUGUAAGUGGAUGAAAUUCUUCCACCUGUUAUUUUCUCCUCUAAAACUUCCACGCUGCCUGGGGGCGUCAGGGUUUUGAGACCGCAUGAGGGAAACCCUGACCCCUCGCCUCUUGGCAUCUCAGGUGUGGGAGCUGGGAAGCUUCCUGACAAAAAAAUAUUAAAGCCAUAAAAUGAAAGGACAUCAAAUUUAACUUUUGGAAGCACCUUGGCUUUCAUCUCCUCCAACCUUCCACCCAGGGCAAGACAAGGACAAGCCACGUGAGAGCAAAGCAGCUGCUCGGUAGGAUGGCCCCAGUGGUGCCCGUAGGUGGCUGGGGAUGAAUGGCCAAGGAACCGUAGAGAAAAUAUGGCUGUCAGAUCGCAGGGUCCGGGUGGUCACCGAGGGCUGGGAACGGGGUCACCUUCAUGGGCAUGUGACCCGUGCUGUCACCCCUGCCUUGAAGGACCCCACACUUUAAUGGCCUGCCUCACUAUCUUGAAAGCCUUAAUCAUUUUUGAAAAAGGGGGCCCGCAAAGUAUGUAGCUGGGCCAGGAUGGAGAGGUCUGAGAGCUGGCGCAGGAAUGAGCAUUUCAGGGGAGCAGGGCAGGCAAAGCCUCGGAGCCAGGAAGCCCGGAAUCAGCUCGAGAAGCGGUCACUUGCCCAAGACCACUUGUCAGGCAGUGAUAGCACAAGAAACUGAACCCAGUCUUGUUGGAUUUCACGGCACCUGGUCUGAAACACUUUGCUCUCCUGUCUCCUGGGACAGACCUCUCACCGGAGCUGCCUUCUCGACUAUUCCUACAAUCUCAGCCUUCUCUUCCAGGGAGCCUUCCUGGAUUGCUCUGGCCUAGUCACACUUGCCAUUCCCUCCUUCCUUCAUACUUCCUACCUAGCUGAGCCAUGGUCCUUGUGUCAGCCUGUGUCCUUUCCCUGCCCCUCCUGGCUAGAGUCUACUGUGGCUUCCAGGCUCCCAGGCCAGUCCGGACAGGGCCUCGCACCUGCAAGAAGAAUUUUUGGGCUCCGGCUUCUUGCUGGAAACCUCACAUGUAGAUUCCAUGGUGCAGUCUUUCUCACCUUCCCAUCCCUAGGGCUGGGCUCCUGCCUCAGUUUUCCCGUCUAAAACGCCAAGGAACUGUGGGAUAAUGGGAGUCAGACAGGCCUGGUUCAUAUUUUGUCUUGCUACUCACUCUAAAGCAAGCAGCUCAGCUUCUGCAAGCCUCAGUUUCUCCAUGUGUCAAAUGGGAGUAAAUCCAAGUGCUCAAGGUUGGCAACACCAGUCAUGUGGAUGUCACCUACCCCCUGAUACACAGCAAGGGCAAGGGCAUCACAGCUCUGUGCUCUUCUCCCGGUCCUGGGACCCAUGAUGUGAGAAAACAUCAGAUAAGCCCCAAGGGACAGGCUACAGAAUACGUGACCGGUACCCUUCAAAACUGCCAAGGUCAUGAAAAGCAAGAGAAGAAGUAGAACCCGUCGUAGAGCGGAGGAGACGAAGAGGACGGAAUGAGUGAAUGUGAUGUGGUCUCCGGGACGGGAUGCCGGAACAGAAAAAGGCCGUUAGUGGACAAACGGGCGAAUCUAAGUGGAGUCUAGAGUUUAGUUAAUAGCAAUGUACCAAUGCUAAUUUCUUAGUUCUGACAAACAUACCGUGGUUAUGUAAGACGUCAACAUCGCGAGAAGCUGGGCUAAGGGUACACGGCCAAACGCUCCUGCACUACCUUUGCCUUUUUUCUCGAAACCUAAAAUUAUUCCAAAAUAAGAUGUUGAUUAAAAACCAAACAAAACCUGCA
This is a non-coding RNA of Callorhinus ursinus (northern fur seal), 5173 nucleotides long. NCBI's taxonomy places the organism in Eukaryota, Metazoa, Chordata, Mammalia, Carnivora, Otariidae. The record is from RefSeq and is a predicted model, not a curated record.